GCUGGGUCUAUCUUAUAUGUCUAUGAUUGGUAGGCGUUGUUGCGGGUUAUCCCGGUCAUUUUGUUGCUUAUUGUAAAAGACUUUCAGGAUUAUGGGAGCAAUAUAAUGAUUUAAACAGUACAGUAAAAUCUUGUACACAAAAUGAGACAAUCAAUCUCAUUGCUGCAAUUUAUAUACUUUAUGAAGAUUAAAUAUGAAACAACAAUCGGAGCCUUCUCGAUUUUAACAACAAAGCGGC
This is a long non-coding RNA of Trachymyrmex cornetzi, 238 nucleotides long. RefSeq lists it as uncharacterized. NCBI's taxonomy places the organism in Eukaryota, Metazoa, Arthropoda, Insecta, Hymenoptera, Formicidae. The transcript has 3 exons. The record is from RefSeq and is a predicted model, not a curated record.